UGUGUGUGUGUGUGUGUGUGUGUGUGUGUGUAUUCAUACAUGUUUGUGCUGAUCUACUUGUGUUUUUUUCAAGGCAUAUGCUAGCAUUUUCAUUGCACAUGUGUGUAUAUGUGUAUGUGUGCAUGCAGUGUGUGUGCGUGUGUGUGUGUGUGUGUGUGUGUGUGUGUGCGGGUGUCAUCCUGAAAAAGAUAGCCUGCACUAUGUCACGUCUUGUCCUCAUAUAACCCCACAUUCAGAGAGGGGUGGCCCCAACCCCACUGUCUCUGCACGCAGCCAGCUGCCACCCAGCUGUGCAGGAGAACCACUCUCAUCCACGGUCACAAACCUGACAGGGAAACUAAGCUUAUUAGAUCAUUAUUGUUCAUACACUUCCUUUUCCUACUUCUGUAUUUCAUUUCUUUUGACGAUAUUCCUCCGGACCAAUAGAGUAUGUUUCUUAUAUUCCUCAGCACCAAUAGAGUAUGUUUCUUAUAUCCCUCAGCACCAAUAUAGUAUGUUUCUUACACUCGGACAAGUAUGACAGAGCGGCAGUGAGAAUGAGGGGUUCUGAGGAUAGAAGGUGAGGUCGCUGAAUAACUGGACUGAAUGUUCUGAGGAUAGAAGGUGAGGUCAGUGAAUAACUGGACUGAAUGUUCUGAGGAUAGAAGGUGAGGUCAUUGAAUAACUGGACUGAAUGUUGCGGCAUCGAUCAGUAAGGGACAUUUGUGUGAAUAUGUUUAACUAAUGGAAGUGCCUGUGCUAUUCAUUUUACAUUUACAUUUAGUCAUUUAGCGGACGCUUUUGUCCAAAGCGACGUACAAGGGAGCUAUCCCAAGUUCAUCAUGAUUUGUUUUUUGUCUGGAAGGUCUGAAGUUUUGAAAUUGAUUUUCCCACUUCUAGAAAACUCUUGACUUGCUGUGUAGGUAACCUGCUAGCCCCAGUGUUAGAUACUAUAUACAACAGUAGAGCUGUUUGAUGGCAGCGGUGGUGGUGAUGAUUUUGGUGGUGGUGAUGAUUUUGGUGGUGGUGAUGAUUUUGGUGCUGGUGAUUUUGGUGCUGGUGAUUUUGGUGCUGGUGAUUUUGAUGGUGGUGAUUUUGGUGGUGAUGAUUUUGGUGCUGGUGAUUUUGGUGCUGGUGAUUUUGGUGGUGAUGAUUUUGAUGGUGGUGAUUUUGGUGGUGAUGAUUUUGAUGGUGGUGAUUUUGGUGGUGGUGAUUUUGGUGGUGGUGAUUUUGAUGGUGGUGAUUUUGGUGGUGAUGAUUUUGGUGCUGGUGAUUUUGAUGGUGGUGAUUUUGGUGGUGGUGAUUUUGAUGGUGGUGAUUUUGGUGGUGGUGAUUUUGUUGUGUGCUGGGCUGAGACGGAUUUCUAACUAGCAUGUACCACUCUUAUGCUAAAUGGCCAAAUGCAAUCUGUAUUCGCUGAAGCUGAAUCUGUUUAUACAGAAGCCUUGUCUUGUCUGUCUACCGUCUUCCACCAUCAUUGUAUUUAAACUACCAUACCACCACCAUUGAAUCUGAACACUUAUAAUUAAAAAGCCUAUCAUAGACAGUAGUUCGUAUAAUCUUACAGAUCCCUUCGGUCAGUCAUCUUAAUUUCAUCAUUCGGUCAUCAUUUAAUUCUCUCUUUAUCUUCAAAAAUCAAAAUGGAAAUCUUUAAUAAUUAACAUGCAUGACUAUGAAUGAAUAUUUAAAGAAAACGAUGUUCUGCCCUGCAGUGCUCUCUUCUUUCACACAGCACACAACCUGUGAAGAAUGAGAAGCUGAACUUGUGUCCAUGAAUUGUUCUCGCAUUGACAAGAAGCUUUUAAAGCUUUUAUUUAUAGUAGAUCUCACAUGUGUAGGACAGACGAUGUCUGCCAACCCACUGGCUCCCAGACAAUCCUCAACGCAAGACCUGCAUGGUCAGCUUGGCCAAGGCAUGGUUGCCAUAGUGACUCUGUUGUUGGAAAACCAAUGACGUGCCACACAUUACUCUUAAGCUUUUUGCAAACAAGGACAAAUACAAAUCCUUCCCAAAGUCUUCCUUUGUUUGGAAGAGAGCACGAUAUCCAACACUAGCAAAUAUUGGCACAGCUUGGCAUCUAAAUCCCUCAUCUUUUCCCUCAAAGCCUGUAAAAGGGGAUUCUUUUACAGAGAUAGGGAGGGAAACACCGAAAUAUUGUGGUUUAAAAAUAGAAAUACGGUACAUGAAGAUCUUACUCAAAUACGUGGUGUACUACUGUGUGCUAUAGUGUUUGUUGAGUACAGUUUGCCCGAGCUAGUGUCCACGCUGUUUUGAAAAGCUGUCUCGCUCUCGCUGUUAGCGCUCGCUAAGUCCUGAUCCUGUUAAUAGAAAUACAUCAGCGUUUGGACCAGGGGCCAGAGGGAGAUGGGGUGCUUAAUCUGUUAACUGCAUCACUCUCAAAGAAAUGGACACAUCAGACAUCAGACUACCGUAGAACAUAGCCUAGAAGAUUAUGGGAAACAACUUCAUAUGGACAAAUUCAUGACUGUGUGUGUGUGUGUGUGUGUGUGUGUGUGUG
Clupea harengus (Atlantic herring) is the source of this 2498-nucleotide long non-coding RNA. The record is from Ensembl. NCBI's taxonomy places the organism in Eukaryota, Metazoa, Chordata, Actinopteri, Clupeiformes, Clupeidae.